GGACGAACGCUGGCGGCGUGCUUAACACAUGCAAGUCGAACGGAAAGACCCUGCUUUUGUGGGGUGCUCGAGUGGCGAACGGGUGAGUAACACGUGAGUAACCUGCCCUUGACUUUGGGAUAACUUCAGGAAACUGGGGCUAAUACCGGAUAGGAGCUCCUGCUGCAUGGUGGGGGUUGGAAAGUUUCGGCGGUUGGGGAUGGACUCGCGGCUUAUCAGCUUGUUGGUGGGGUAGUGGCUUACCAAGGCUUUGACGGGUAGCCGGCCUGAGAGGGUGACCGGCCACAUUGGGACUGAGAUACGGCCCAGACUCCUACGGGAGGCAGCAGUGGGGAAUAUUGCACAAUGGGCGGAAGCCUGAUGCAGCAACGCCGCGUGCGGGAUGACGGCCUUCGGGUUGUAAACCGCUUUCGCCUGUGACGAAGCGUGAGUGACGGUAAUGGGUAAAGAAGCACCGGCUAACUACGUG
Molecule: ribosomal RNA, 469 nt
Filed under: uncultured bacterium
Lineage: Bacteria
Description: partial 16S ribosomal RNA
Rfam family: Bacterial small subunit ribosomal RNA
Source: RNAcentral